RNAcentral lists this ribosomal RNA (203 nucleotides) under uncultured Streptococcaceae bacterium. RNAcentral describes it as "partial 16S ribosomal RNA". It matches the Rfam family "Bacterial small subunit ribosomal RNA", at positions 136 to 334 of the family's 1533-position model. Lineage: Bacteria; Bacillati; Bacillota; Bacilli; Lactobacillales; Streptococcaceae. The record is from RNAcentral.
GCGGGGGAUAACUAUUGGAAACGAUAGCUAAUACCGCAUAAGAGUAGAUGUUGCAUGACAUUUACUUAAAAGGUGCAAUUGCAUCACUACCAGAUGGACCUGCGUUGUAUUAGCUAGUUGGUGGGGUAACGGCUCACCAAGGCGACGAUACAUAGCCGACCUGAGAGGGUGAUCGGCCACACUGGGACUGAGACACGGCCCAG